GACGAACGCUGGCGGCGUGCCUAAUACAUGCAAGUCGAACGAGAGCGACCGGUUCUUGCGCUGGUCAAUCUAGUGGCGAACGGGUGAGUAACACGUGUGUAACCUCCCCAUCAGAGGGGGAUAACAUCCGGAAACGGAUGCUAAAACCGCAUAGGUCUUCGAACCGCAUUGUUUGAAGAGGAAAAGAGGCGCAAGCUUCUGCUGAUGGGUGGACCCGCGGUGCAUGAGCUAGUUGGUGAGGUAACGGCUCACCAAGGGCGUGAUGCAUAGCCGACCGCAGGGGGUGAUCGGCCACCUUGGGACUUAGACACGGCCAUAACUCCUACGGGAGGCAGCAGUAGGGAAUCUUCCGCAAUGGACGCAAGUCUGACGGAGCAACGCCGCGUGAGUGAAGAAGGUGUUCGGAUCGUAAAACUCUGUUGUUAGAGAAGAACAAGUGCUAGAGUAACUGUUAGCGCCUUGACGGUAUCUAACCAGAAAGCCACGGCUAACUACGUG
RNAcentral lists this ribosomal RNA (498 nucleotides) under uncultured bacterium. RNAcentral's name for it is "partial 16S ribosomal RNA". It matches the Rfam family "Bacterial small subunit ribosomal RNA", at positions 28 to 507 of the family's 1533-position model. The record is from RNAcentral.